UGCCCGGGUGGCGGAAUUGGCAGACGCGCCAGCUUGAGGGGCUGGUGGGCUUAGGUCCAUGCAGGUUCAAAUCCUGUCCCGGGCAG
This 86-nucleotide transfer RNA is filed under the name Planctomycetes bacterium ADurb.Bin126. Its description in RNAcentral is "tRNA-Leu". It matches the Rfam family "tRNA". From Rfam's summary of the family: Transfer RNA (tRNA) molecules are approximately 80 nucleotides in length. Their secondary structure includes four short double-helical elements and three loops (D, anti-codon, and T loops). Further hydrogen bonds mediate the characteristic L-shaped molecular structure. tRNAs have two regions of fundamental functional importance: the anti-codon, which is responsible for specific mRNA codon recognition, and the 3' end, to which the tRNAs corresponding amino acid is attached (by aminoacyl-tRNA synthetases). tRNAs cope with the degeneracy of the genetic code in two manners: having more than one tRNA (with a specific anti-codon) for a particular amino acid; and 'wobble' base-pairing, i.e. permitting non-standard base-pairing at the 3rd anti-codon position. The record is from RNAcentral. Lineage: Bacteria; Pseudomonadati; Planctomycetota.